GCCAGACUCCUACGGGAGGCAGCAGUGGGGAAUAUUGCACAAUGGGGGAAACCCUGAUGCAGCGACGCCGCGUGAGUGAAGAAGUAAUUCGUUAUGUAAAGCUCUAUCAGCAGGGAAGAAAGAAAUGACGGUACCUGACUAAGAAGCCCCGGCUAACUACGUGCCAGCAGCCGCGGUAAUACGUAGGUGGCAAGCGUUAUCCGGAUUUAUUGGGUGUAAAGGGCGUGUAGGCGGGAGCGCAAGUCAGAUGUGAAAACUCAGGGCUCAACCCUGAGCCUGCAUUUGAAACUGUGUUUCUUGAGUGCUGGAGAGGCAAUCGGAAUUCCGUGUGUAGCGGUGAAAUGCGUAGAUAUACGGAGGAACACCAGUGGCGAAGGCGACUUUCUGGACUGUACCUGACGCUGAGGCGCGAAAGCGUGGGUAGCGAACGGGAUUAGAUACCCCAGUA
This 448-nucleotide ribosomal RNA is filed under the name uncultured bacterium. RNAcentral's name for it is "bacterial SSU rRNA". It matches the Rfam family "Bacterial small subunit ribosomal RNA", at positions 330 to 792 of the family's 1533-position model. The record is from RNAcentral.